AUGAGUAGCGCAAGGCAGGUGAGAAUCCUGCCCGCCGAAAAUCUAAGGAUUCCUGAGGAAGGUUCGUCCGCUCAGGGGUAGUCGGGACCUAAGCCGAGGGCGAAAGCCGUAGGCGAUGGAUAACAGGUAGAGAUUCCUGUACCACCGGAGGUCGUUUUAAGCGAAGUGGGGACACAGAAGGAUAGACUGAGCACGCCGCUGGUAGAGCGUGUCCAAGCGUCGAGGUAGGCAAUGUAGGCAAAUCCGCAUAGUCAAUACUGAGGCGUUACGGGGUGGCAAGUAAGCCGGAAGCAGUCGAUUUCACGCUGUCAAGAAAAGCCGCUAGCAAGACCCGAGGUGCCCGUACCGCAAACCGACACAGGUAGAUGAGGAGAGAAUCCUAAGGCGAGCGAGAGAACUAUUGUUAAGGAACUCGGCAAAAUGACCCCGUAACUUCGGGAGA
Molecule: ribosomal RNA, 442 nt
Filed under: Anaerotruncus colihominis
Lineage: Bacteria; Bacillati; Bacillota; Clostridia; Eubacteriales; Oscillospiraceae
Also listed under: 1 other name
Description: partial 23S ribosomal RNA
Rfam family: Bacterial large subunit ribosomal RNA
Source: RNAcentral